AAGGACGUCGCGCAGGAAGCGCAGCUUUUAAAAAGGAUACGUUGGAAAGCCGCCAGGAUGGCGAGUUGAUCAAGGAUGUCAGGACAUAGUCUGCAAAACCUCGCUUCGGCGGGGUUUU
This 118-nucleotide small RNA is filed under the name Pseudomonas cuatrocienegasensis. RNAcentral also lists the same sequence under 1 other name. The record is from RNAcentral. Lineage: Bacteria; Pseudomonadati; Pseudomonadota; Gammaproteobacteria; Pseudomonadales; Pseudomonadaceae.